GUCCUUCUGCUGCACCACUAAAAUUCAAUAGUGGUAUCAGAGCAAGUCUUGAUCCAUAUAAUCAAAGGUUAAAUUAUUGUCUUGAUUGUGAUCAAGCAUGGGUUUUUGGUUUGGUUCAAGUUGGGUCUAGAGUUGAACCCGAUUGAACAUCCAAACCCUAGCAUGUCUUAGAGAUAUGUUUUAAAUGUUAAAUACAUGAUGUAUGUAUAGAAUCUUUCUUAGUAGUUUAGUACUCUAAUUGAAAUUCAUCACU
RNAcentral lists this long non-coding RNA (253 nucleotides) under Elaeis guineensis (African oil palm). RNAcentral's name for it is "long non-coding RNA (EGUI_LNC057196)". Lineage: Eukaryota; Viridiplantae; Streptophyta; Magnoliopsida; Arecales; Arecaceae. The record is from RNAcentral.